This is a long non-coding RNA of Amphiprion ocellaris (clown anemonefish), 1545 nucleotides long. RefSeq lists it as uncharacterized. NCBI's taxonomy places the organism in Eukaryota, Metazoa, Chordata, Actinopteri, Pomacentridae. The transcript has 3 exons. The record is from RefSeq and is a predicted model, not a curated record.
AAUAAUUUCCUGAAAAGUCUGUGAAGGAAAAGCAGCUUUUUAUCCUGAAAGAUCAGAAUCAGCUCCAACAUCUGCAUCUGACAGCAUCAAGUCAACCAGAAAGAAAAGAAAAAAGAAAAUGACUUGUUUCUGAUCACAUCUGUUCUGCUGCUCACAGGCUGCUGCUGUUCACAUUCUUCACAUUUAUAGUCCACUUUUAAAAGUCCAGCAGACAGGUGCUCUGCUUUGGAGUGUGACGAUGUCAUCGGUGAUGUGGAGAGUGAAGUUUCUGUUUCACCCACAGCAUGCUUUAGGGCAGCCGGGUCGCACUUGAUGUUUGAAAUACUGACCGACAUCUCAGAUUUAACUGUCUGUAGUUCUGUUUUGAUGGAUGUUAAAUUUUCACUCAAAGCCGCCAGGAGCUGGGUCUUUAAAAUAACCGCCGUCUCGUUACAGAGUGAAAGUAGCAGUUCCUCCUUAAGGUCAGAGAUUGCAGCAACUGAGGGCCUCUUCAAAAGAAGACAUAGUUGAUGAAGGCGUUCUGGAGCAGGACCAGAAAGACCACGACCAAGCAGCCUUGAGAUCUUAGGCAGCGUCUCCCUCAGGUCCCUCUAUAUCUCCCCACACAUCCACCAACCACUGGAACACAUCUCCAAAGUUCUGCUGGACCAGCUCAGCUUCCUCUCAGAAGAAGUGCUGCCACCUGCCAGAUGAAGGAGCCUUUUGAGAGGCAGCUGGCAUCGUGAUUGGACUGUACUUUGGUCUGUUCCAAUCCAGCUUCAGCUCCAGAGACGGCAGGCGGGACGAGUCAACGGAGGCCGGGUGGACGAAGGCAUGCAGCUGAGUACAAUCCAGAAAACAACAGAGGAGGAGUGCAGCAGCCCAGGGCCAGAACAACCAGAGUAGCAUUACCAAAGAACUACAGACUCUUCACAACCUGCUCAAACUCUUGGUACAGGACCUCACCACACGGGUCAAGAAGGUUUCUGUCUCAUUUCUACUCUGAAGCUCACCUUCUCCUGUUCAAACUGCUGACAAAUGUUUCUGCUGCUCUAAAGUCUGGUCUCCAGAACUUCCUAAAAACUCUCAAAGUCUCUUCUGCUGCAGGUUGCUUUGUAGAACUGUUCCAGAAAACCUCACUAAACCACAUGGAAGGGCCUCAAGAUAGUCGUCCAAAUGAAACCAUACAAAAACCAAACUAGCACAACCCAAACACUAAAGUCUCCUGCAGCCUACCAGAGAACCUCUGAGAACAGAGAAUCAGGACAGGAACUCUUACCUUCUGGACAACCAACGUUGGUUCUCAAAAAAGAAUACAGAAUGUGUCUGACCAAAAACCUCUGAAGACUCACUACAGCCAAGAUAAAGACACAACUCACCUGCACCAAAUCCACUAAUCACUGCACACAGUAGCACCAUGUGCUAACUGUGGCUAAAGAACCACAUUUACCAAGACAACUAUCCGGUACAAAGCCCUAAAACACACCAAGAAACACAUUAAAGACGAUUUUACUGCUGGAAGCUGCAAGCCAACGCCUAAAGAACAACCUAAAGCAAUGGAGCCAA